AACUUGCUCCUUUUGCCAAAAUUAAUGUCAGGAAAUUCCCUCUGGUUUGGAACCCUCUUCUUUGUUGCAUGAUCAUUAGAUUUCUGCAUUUCAGUACUUUGACAAUCGGAACCUUCUAUUUCAGAAACGGACACAACACUAUGGGAAAGCGAUUUCCGUGAACAAAACUGAUGUUCUUGGUUUUGGAACCUCUCAUUUGUUGUAGGAUCAUUAGAUUUUUGCAUUUCACUAUUCUGAAAUUUCAAUUGUCGCAUUCCAGAACCAAGAAGCACUCUACGAUGGCCAAAAGUUUCCGUUUUGCGGAUCAGAGGAGUAGAAUUUAAUUCUACAAGAUCCUUGGCACCAUUUAUUUUAGAAGGACCAGGGCAUUUCGAUGCUACAGAAUUCUUAUGAUCGGUAAGUGUAUUAGGAAGUUUUUUAAUUAUUUUUCGAGCGGCAUCCAUCAUUUCCCAGGCUUUCUUCACAUCACGAACUGUGCUAUUUUCUGCUGUUGAUGGUUGAACAGGAUUGCUGUUGCAAUUUGUUCUGGAAGAGACAGAAGCAUUUUGCAUACCAUCCCAAUUUCCACGAAGCCUCCUUACAUGUUCUCCUACAAAACGAUGGCGAC
This 607-nucleotide long non-coding RNA is filed under the name Zostera marina. RNAcentral's name for it is "long non-coding RNA (ZMAR_LNC006021)". Lineage: Eukaryota; Viridiplantae; Streptophyta; Magnoliopsida; Alismatales; Zosteraceae. The record is from RNAcentral.